GCAAGGGAACCACUAAGUAAACUACAAC
RNAcentral lists this non-coding RNA (28 nucleotides) under Mus musculus (house mouse). Lineage: Eukaryota; Metazoa; Chordata; Mammalia; Rodentia; Muridae. The record is from RNAcentral.